GGUUAAGUUAGAAAGGGCGCACGGCGGAUGCCUUGGCACUAGGAGCCUAUGAAGGACGGCACUAACACCGAUAUGCUUCGGGGAGCUGUAAGUAAGCUUUGAUCCGAAGAUUUCCGAAUGGGGAAACCCACUGCCCGUAAUGGGGCAGUACGUUCACGUGAAUACAUAGCGUGAACGAGGCAGACCCGGAGAACUGAAACAUCUAAGUAUCCGGAGGAAGAGAAAGAAAAAUCGAUUCCCUGAGUAGCGGCGAGCGAAACGGGAAAAGCCCAAACCAGGAAGCUUGCUUCCUGGGGUUGUAGGACACUCUAUACGGAGUUACAAAGGGAUGGAUUAGACGAAGCGACCUGGAAAGGUCCGCCAUAGCGGGUAAAAGCCCCGUAGUCGAAAGUCCAUCCUCUCCAGAGUGGAUCCUGAGUACGGCGGAACACGUGAAAUUCCGUCGGAAUCCGGGAGGACCAUCUCCCAAGGCUAAAUACUCCCUAGUGACCGAUAGUGAACCAGUACCGUGAGGGAAAGGUGAAAAGCACCCCGGAAGGGGAGUGAAAGAGAACCUGAAACCGUGUGCCUACAAGUUGUCAGAGCCCGUUAAUGGGUGAUGGCGUGCCUUUUGUAGAAUGAACCGGCGAGUUACGAUUCCAUGCAAGGUUAAGCAG
This 656-nucleotide ribosomal RNA is filed under the name Sporosarcina highlanderae. RNAcentral describes it as "partial 23S ribosomal RNA". It matches the Rfam family "Bacterial large subunit ribosomal RNA", at positions 1 to 653 of the family's 2925-position model. Lineage: Bacteria; Bacillati; Bacillota; Bacilli; Caryophanales; Caryophanaceae. The record is from RNAcentral.